RNAcentral lists this long non-coding RNA (2051 nucleotides) under Nicotiana tabacum (common tobacco). RNAcentral's name for it is "long non-coding RNA (NTAB_LNC013541)". Lineage: Eukaryota; Viridiplantae; Streptophyta; Magnoliopsida; Solanales; Solanaceae. The record is from RNAcentral.
UUCAUCUCCGUUUUCAAUAUUCCACUUCUACACCUGCCUUCUACUUAGGGCUUCAUGCUUCAUAUUCAGUUGAUAUCAUCAGAGAAAACCACUCCUCUAUCAAUACCUCAUUUUGGUGUUUUUAAUAUUUUUCUUUUGUUAAUUUGUACAGUAAUCGUUCCACGAAAUUCCUCAAUGAAAGUAACUAUACAAGUAUUUCGCAAAAGAGUUGGGCUUCAAAGAAUUAUCAAAGCUAAGUUAAAGAGGUUGGUUACGGCCUCAGUUAUUGUGACCAUGUGCUUAUGUCUCAAUGGUGUAUGAUAGUGUUUACAAAGGGAUUGUACUAGCCAGCUUGAUGAAUUGGCCACCAAGACUUAUGCUGCCAUGAUUACUGCGCACCCUGACUAUGCAUGUGUAAGUCUCAAUUUGUUGUGCCAUUUUUGUUGAUGUGACUUUCAGGAAUUAUUUUUAUUGUGCUAUUUUUUUAGAUGCUUCAUUUUAGGUUCUGGGUUAAUUUUCAAGGAUUGAAAAAUUGAGUAUUUGAUCAAUUUGCUACGUGAUAUAAAUGAAUUUUUCUUUUCUAUUUCUUGAAGCUAUAUUACAUCAGUUUCAGUUAGUACCUUUUUGGCUUUAGGUUUAAAGCUUUCUUGAAAUGUGUGGGUUUGUAUGCACAAUGUUUGAAUAUCGAUCUAGAUUAAAAUUUACGCCAAUUAAGUUAUAAGCCUCUAAGAAGAGAAUAAAGAUAUAAGACAAACAGGGUAAAAGUAAUGGAGUGGUGAGGCAAAAUAUUCAUUUACCUUCAAGAAUCGAGAUAGGUUGAGCUUAUUUUGGAAAUCCUAGGUUUUGAAUUUUGUGGAGAAACUCUCUCAAACUUGGGGUAAGUUUCUUACUCUAUCUAUAUGUGAAUUAGUAUAUCUUUUGUAUGGUGACUUUUAGUCAUUUAAAAUCAGAAAUUUAAUCCCGUGAAUUGGACAGCAGUUACUAUUUUGGGAAUAACUUUUUUUCUAAAAAUCGGGUUGGGGUAAUUCAAAAGGCUAUAAAAAGAUAAGAGAUAUAUCUACAAUUGUUAUAAAGACCAAGAUGUCCAGUUCUGUGGUUUACUGCCUCAAAAAAUAUACUGCAAUACAGCGCAGAGCUGUUGCCCAGAUUUUCUCCUUAAGAAUUGUGAAUUGUGGAGACCAUUUAAACCCCAAUUUUGUUUAUAUAGUGAUGAGUCUUGCUCAAUUACUCUGAGAGGACAAUAAAAAUAAAGUUGUUUAAGAGGAAAUAUAGUGAUCCGUGUGUGCUGAAAAAUUAUGAUGAAGUUUUGAAAUCACUAAGCACUUUAAAUGUUGGUACUGCUACACGACUGCUAGGUAAAUAUGUGCCAUUGUGUUCGAAGCUGAAUAUUUUUAAAAAAAAAUAUAUGCAAGAUUGCUCUCGAAAGUGACUGUAUAAAGACAAUUAAUCAAAUAAAAUCACAUUUUCUUUUGUGGUAAAGAUGAAACCAUGUUCGUUAAGCUAAAAGGUGUGUAUAAGAAUCUUCUCCAUUGUCCUUUUACUCUUUUGAUGAAAGUGUCUUAUUAUUUUCUGUUAUCUUAAUCUGUCUCUAAAGUUACCUUAUAUUCAUAACAGAUACUUCAAAUGGCCAGGCUCAGUACGUUUAAAAUUUGACUAAUCUGAAGGUAAUAUCAUGUAAGUUUAUUUUUCUUCAUUUGGGUUUCAAAUUCACUUUCUUUUAGUUUUUUUGCAAUAAACUUUCUAUAUUGGGUUGAUGUGAAGAUUUGUGUAUGACUGGUAAUUUUUAAUUUUGAGGAUAAGUAGAGUCACUUCUCGAUGAGUAUCAGUUCAAGAUCUCAUUAUAUAUCACUAAACUGAUGAAUGCCUUUCUUGUGAAAAGUAUUACUAUAAUAAGAUGAGACACUAAAGGUAACUAUAUUUUUGUGCUAUAACACUAAGCUAACAGAUAUAUUCAUGUGAAACAAGUUUGGAAGAUGUACAGGUUUCAAAAACCAGAUAGGAAUUGAUUACUCACACUAAUUGACCAAAACAAAGAAUAGUUGUAUAAAACCUUCGCUAAUAAUUCUGCUGAU